Molecule: ribosomal RNA, 610 nt
Filed under: Meyerozyma guilliermondii
Lineage: Eukaryota; Fungi; Ascomycota; Pichiomycetes; Serinales; Debaryomycetaceae
Description: eukaryotic LSU rRNA
Rfam family: 5.8S ribosomal RNA (bases 232-385)
Source: RNAcentral
UGGUGUGAUAAAAAAAAAAAAAAAACAAGGUUUCCGUAGGUGAACCUGCGGAAGGAUCAUUACAGUAUUCUUUUGCCAGCGCUUAACUGCGCGGCGAAAAACCUUACACACAGUGUCUUUUUGAUACAGAACUCUUGCUUUGGUUUGGCCUAGAGAUAGGUUGGGCCAGAGGUUUAACAAAACACAAUUUAAUUAUUUUUACAGUUAGUCAAAUUUUGAAUUAAUCUUCAAAACUUUCAACAACGGAUCUCUUGGUUCUCGCAUCGAUGAAGAACGCAGCGAAAUGCGAUAAGUAAUAUGAAUUGCAGAUUUUCGUGAAUCAUCGAAUCUUUGAACGCACAUUGCGCCCUCUGGUAUUCCAGAGGGCAUGCCUGUUUGAGCGUCAUUUCUCUCUCAAACCCCCGGGUUUGGUAUUGAGUGAUACUCUUAGUCGGACUAGGCGUUUGCUUGAAAAGUAUUGGCAUGGGUAGUACUAGAUAGUGCUGUCGACCUCUCAAUGUAUUAGGUUUAUCCAACUCGUUGAAUGGUGUGGCGGGAUAUUUCUGGUAUUGUUGGCCCGGCCUUACAACAACCAAACAAGUUUGACCUCAAAUCAGGUAGAAUCCCCGUC